This 253-nucleotide ribosomal RNA is filed under the name uncultured bacterium. RNAcentral's name for it is "partial 16S ribosomal RNA". It matches the Rfam family "Bacterial small subunit ribosomal RNA", at positions 524 to 776 of the family's 1533-position model. The record is from RNAcentral.
GACAGAGGUCCCGAGCGUUAGGCGGAAUCACUGGGCUUAAAGCGUGUGUAGGCGGAUGCCUAAGUACCUUGUGAAAUCCCACGGCUCACCCGUGGAAUUGCUUGGUAUACUGGGUGUCUUGAGCCACUUAGGGGCUACCGGAACAAAUGGUGGAGCGGUGAAAUGCGUAGAUAUCAUUUGGAACGCCAAUGGUGAAAACAGGUAGCUGGGAGUGUGCUGACGCUGAGACACGAAAGCCAGGGGAGCGAACGGG